Molecule: ribosomal RNA, 2386 nt
Filed under: Priestia iocasae
Lineage: Bacteria; Bacillati; Bacillota; Bacilli; Caryophanales; Bacillaceae
Description: 23S ribosomal RNA
Rfam family: Bacterial large subunit ribosomal RNA
Source: RNAcentral
AGAUCCUGAAACCGUGUGCCUACAAGUAGUCAGAGCCCGUUAACGGGUGAUGGCGUGCCUUUUGUAGAAUGAACCGGCGAGUUACGAUCCCGUGCAAGGUUAAGUCGAAAAGACGGAGCCGCAGCGAAAGCGAGUCUGAAUAGGGCGACAUAGUACGUGGUUGUAGACCCGAAACCAGGUGAUCUACCCAUGUCCAGGGUGAAGUUCAGGUAACACUGAAUGGAGGCCCGAACCCACGCACGUUGAAAAGUGCGGGGAUGAGGUGUGGGUAGCGGAGAAAUUCCAAUCGAACCUGGAGAUAGCUGGUUCUCUCCGAAAUAGCUUUAGGGCUAGCCUCGAGAUGAGAGUAUUGGAGGUAGAGCACUGAUUGGACUAGGGGCCCCCAACGGGUUACCGAAUUCAGUCAAACUCCGAAUGCCAAAUACUUAUUCUCGGGAGUCAGACUGCGAGUGAUAAGAUCCGUAGUCAAGAGGGAAACAGCCCAGACCACCAGCUAAGGUCCCAAAGUAUACGUUAAGUGGAAAAGGAUGUGGAGUUGCUUAGACAACCAGGAUGUUGGCUUAGAAGCAGCCACCAUUUAAAGAGUGCGUAAUAGCUCACUGGUCGAGUGACUCUGCGCCGAAAAUGUACCGGGGCUAAACGUAUCACCGAAGCUGUGGAUUGACAUCUACGAUGUCAGUGGUAGGAGAGCGUUCUAAGGGCGUUGAAGCUAGACCGUAAGGACUGGUGGAGCGCUUAGAAGUGAGAAUGCCGGUAUGAGUAGCGAAAGACAAGUGAGAAUCUUGUCCACCGAAUGCCUAAGGUUUCCUGAGGAAGGCUCGUCCGCUCAGGGUUAGUCGGGACCUAAGCCGAGGCCGAAAGGCGUAGGCGAUGGCCAACAGGUUGAUAUUCCUGUACUACCUCCCCACCGUUUGAGCAAUGGGGGGACGCAGGAGGAUAGGGUAAGCGCGCUGCUGGAUAUGCGCGUCUAAGCAGUUAGGCUGAUGAGUAGGCAAAUCCGCUCAUCGUGAAGGCUGAGCUGUGAUGGCGAAGGGGCCAAGGCCCCGAAGUUCCUGAUUCCACACUGCCAAGAAAAGCCUCUAGCGAGGUGGGAGGUACCCGUACCGCAAACCGACACAGGUAGGCGAGGAGAGAAUCCUAAGGUGAUCGAGAGAACUCUCGUUAAGGAACUCGGCAAAAUGACCCCGUAACUUCGGGAGAAGGGGUGCUCUGUUAGGGUGUUAAAGCCCGAGAGAGCCGCAGUGAAUAGGCCCAGGCGACUGUUUAGCAAAAACACAGGUCUCUGCGAAGCCGUAAGGCGAAGUAUAGGGGCUGACGCCUGCCCGGUGCUGGAAGGUUAAGAGGAGGGGUUAUCCUUUGGGAGAAGCUCUGAAUCGAAGCCCCAGUAAACGGCGGCCGUAACUAUAACGGUCCUAAGGUAGCGAAAUUCCUUGUCGGGUAAGUUCCGACCCGCACGAAAGGCGUAACGAUCUGGGCACUGUCUCAACGAGAGACUCGGUGAAAUUAUAUUACCUGUGAAGAUGCAGGUUACCCGCGACAGGACGGAAAGACCCCGUGGAGCUUUACUGUAGCCUGAUAUUGAAUUUUGGUACAGCUUGUACAGGAUAGGUAGGAGCCUGAGAAGCCGGAGCGCUAGCUUCGGUGGAGGCGUCGGUGGGAUACUACCCUGGCUGUAUUGAAAUUCUAACCCGCAGCCCUUAUCGGGCUGGGAGACAGUGUCAGGUGGGCAGUUUGACUGGGGCGGUCGCCUCCUAAAAUGUAACGGAGGCGCCCAAAGGUUCCCUCAGAAUGGUUGGAAAUCAUUCGUAGAGUGUAAAGGCACAAGGGAGCUUGACUGCGAGACCUACAAGUCGAGCAGGGACGAAAGUCGGGCUUAGUGAUCCGGUGGUUCCGCAUGGAAGGGCCAUCGCUCAACGGAUAAAAGCUACCCCGGGGAUAACAGGCUUAUCUCCCCCAAGAGUCCACAUCGACGGGGAGGUUUGGCACCUCGAUGUCGGCUCAUCGCAUCCUGGGGCUGUAGUCGGUCCCAAGGGUUGGGCUGUUCGCCCAUUAAAGCGGUACGCGAGCUGGGUUCAGAACGUCGUGAGACAGUUCGGUCCCUAUCCGUCGUGGGCGCAGGAAAUUUGAGAGGAGCUGUCCUUAGUACGAGAGGACCGGGAUGGACGCACCGCUGGUGUACCAGUUGUCUUGCCAAAGGCAUCGCUGGGUAGCUAUGUGCGGACGGGAUAAAUGCUGAAAGCAUCUAAGCAUGAAGCCCCCCUCAAGAUGAGAUUUCCCAUAGCGCAAGCUAGUAAGACCCCUGAAAGAUGAUCAGGUUGAUAGGUCAGAGGUGGAAGCAUGGUGACAUGUGUAGCUGACUGAUACUAAUCGGUCGAGGACUUAACCA